UGCGUAGGCGGGGCAAUUAGUCAGUGGUGAAAUCCUGCGGCUUAACCGUAGAACUGCCAUUGAUACUGUUGCCCUUGAGUAUAGUUGAGGUGGGCGGAAUGUGUAAUGUAGCGGUGAAAUGCAUAGAGAUUACACAGAACACCAAUUGCGAAGGCAGCUCACUAAGCUAUAACUGACGCUGAGGCACGAAGGCGUGGGGAGCGAACAGGAUUAGAUACCCUGGUAGUCC
RNAcentral lists this ribosomal RNA (229 nucleotides) under uncultured bacterium. Its description in RNAcentral is "partial 16S ribosomal RNA". It matches the Rfam family "Bacterial small subunit ribosomal RNA", at positions 568 to 796 of the family's 1533-position model. The record is from RNAcentral.